UUCUGGNANCUUUCGCGGUAUGGGAUGGGGUCGCGUCCUAUCAGCUUGACGGCGGGGUAACGGCCCACCGUGGCUUCGACGGGUAGCCGGCCUGAGAGGGCGACCGGCCACAUUGGGACUGAGAUACGGCCCAGACUCCUACGGGAGGCAGCAGUGGGGAAUAUUGCACAAUGGGCGCAAGCCUGAUGCAGCGACGCCGCGUGAGGGAUGGAGGCCUUCGGGUUGUAAACCUCUUUUAUCGGGGAGCAAGCGAGAGUGAGUUUACCCGUUGAAUAAGCACCGGCUAACUACGUGCCAGCAGCCGCGGUAAUACGUAGGGUGCAAGCGUUAUCCGGAAUUAUUGGGCGUAAAGGGCUCGUAGGCGGUUCGUCGCGUCCGGUGUGAAAGUCCAUCGCUUAACGGUGGAUCCGCGCCGGGUACGGGCGGGCUUGAGUGCGGUAGGGGAGACUGGAAUUCCCGGUG
RNAcentral lists this ribosomal RNA (462 nucleotides) under Bifidobacterium longum. RNAcentral describes it as "bacterial SSU rRNA". It matches the Rfam family "Bacterial small subunit ribosomal RNA", at positions 201 to 675 of the family's 1533-position model. The record is from RNAcentral. Lineage: Bacteria; Bacillati; Actinomycetota; Actinomycetes; Bifidobacteriales; Bifidobacteriaceae.